GGCACUUUUAUUUUGACACCACCAAUCAGAUUCUGUAUCUCUGUGAGGCAAAGCUUGAGAGUGUUGGACAGUUUAUUGCCACUCUCCUACAGUCUAUGGCCUUUAUUGCUUCAGGUUUAUCAUGUCAAAUCAACUUCCUGUAUUAGGUGCCAAGCCUGAAAGCUUCAUGCAAGCCAUCCAUCAUGCCAUCUAUGCUUUGAGCCUUCAGUUGUUUAUCUCCUCUUUCACAUAUGAAGCAAACAAGGCAAAGAGGGACACCUCACUGAAUUCAGACCAGCCUCCUGGGAAGUUAGAGGGGGACUUUCUCAAUGUCU
This is a long non-coding RNA of Oncorhynchus tshawytscha (Chinook salmon), 314 nucleotides long. NCBI's taxonomy places the organism in Eukaryota, Metazoa, Chordata, Actinopteri, Salmoniformes, Salmonidae. The record is from Ensembl.